Molecule: ribosomal RNA, 680 nt
Filed under: Candeina nitida
Lineage: Eukaryota; Foraminifera; Rotaliida; Candeinidae
Description: SSU rRNA
Rfam family: Eukaryotic small subunit ribosomal RNA (bases 1-607)
Source: RNAcentral
CACGCGGGAAAUCUUACCGGGUCCGGACACACUGAGGAUUGACAGGUAUUAUAUAAUUGCUCUUCGGAGCUUUUAUUGUUAAAUAUGCUAGUCCUUUCAUGAUUAUGUGAUAGGUGGUGCAUGGCCGUUCUUAGUUCGUGGAGUGAUCUGUCUGCUUAAUUGCGUUUCACUAUAAGGAUCUAUAUUCUUUACAGUGUGCAGUGCAUUGACCCCUUCUUCGGAAGCGUGUGUCUUUACGCUCACACUUCAUUAGGUCCUGAAAGCAACGAACGUGACCGCAACCUCUUGUUGCCUCUGUGCUCCUACACGCUCAAUGCGCUAAACACUGGUUUUCUUCGGAAGCUUAGUGCGUUGGUUGAGGCUUUCUUAAACUAGAGGGACCGCUGUCAACUUCUUAAACCAGAGGAAGGUUGCGGCAAUAACAGGUCUGUGAUGCCCUUAGAUGUUCCGGGCUGCACACGUGCUACAAUGAUUGUUGCAGUGAGCAUCUCAAUUCUUUACCACACCGCACACGUGAGUCUUUAACGUUUUGUUAAUGCACUUUACGCAGCGGUAACGCCUGCUUCGAGAGCAAGUGGGUAAUCAAUUAAAGUAACGAUUUCCCAAGUUAGCACACUUAUAUACGGCGUUUAUGCCCGGGUUUCACUCGUUGAUUCCUUUGGCGCGAAUGGAUUCUUCCG